UACUGUGUAUCACCGGAAGCUCGUCUGCUGUUCUUUCUACGAGUACCAGCUGGAUCGUAAAGCUGUUUACAGAAACGGCGAGUCGAGUGUAACCUUAUGUUACGUUUCAGCGGUCGGUUGGCAGAAACACGAGUGAUAUCUUCAAGUCGACAUUUAUAAAAUUGGAAACGGCUAGAAAUAGAAAACAACGUCACGUGUCCAAAUAAAAUGGAACGAAGCACAUUCCGCGGUUAAUUUUAGGCGUUCUUUGUGCAAAAAUCGUAGUCGCACUACCAUCUCACGGUGUCUUGCAACAGACUGAUAGGGAAGGCCGGAAAGAAGAUGGUGAAACGAGAGAGAGAGAGAGAGGCAAAGAAAGAAGGCAGCGAGACCGCAACUUCACAAAAGCGAGAUUCAUAUUCCGCUCGGAGAAACAGCGGCAUUCGGAGCAGAAAAUAAAAUCUACGGGGGUCGUCCCGUCCACGGAAACGGACGCUGCAUUCACGGGAACGUUCCUCGUUUUCGUCUCAUAACUUCCUCCUUCCUGAACUCCUAACCGACUCUUUCCACCGGCCGUGUCACAUCGCUGACCCUUCCUGCACUUAGCCGUUCUAAACCAACCGGCAAACUUCGUGAUAUGCAUUUGAAAUGCCGCCACUGAGAUAUGAAAUUUUCCUUCAACUAGCUGCAAUCAGAUUUUCUUCUCGCAAUAAUCGCUAAGGACAGCUACAUACUGAAUGUUCUACGAUGAUGUUGCGAGAGAACAGUGCUCUGCCUUUCACAAAAGUUAUUUAAACAUCGUUUAUAAUACGAGACACCUGAUAUUAUCAUCUUGAUUUAUAUCAAUAUGAAACCAUACGAUAUAAUAUCAGGUGUCUCGUUUCUAUAUUUUAAGUCACUUCGAUUUGGUUAGGACGCGAACCGAUCGUGAGAGCCAAAGACGAUAUUUUCCAGUCACGCUAUUCUCGGCGUUAAUCCAAUGAAAGCUUGGUCGAUAUUUUAAGGAUAACGAAUAAUUCUCUGUCAGGCUGUGAGAGAACACGGCAACGAAACAGAGACAU
This 1040-nucleotide unclassified non-coding RNA is filed under the name Bombus terrestris (buff-tailed bumblebee). Its description in RNAcentral is "misc RNA ENSBTSG00005034615.1". The record is from RNAcentral. Lineage: Eukaryota; Metazoa; Arthropoda; Insecta; Hymenoptera; Apidae.